GACGAACGCUGGCGGCGUGCCUAAUACAUGCAAGUAGAACGCUGAAGAGAGGAGCUUGCUCUUCUUGGAUGAGUUGCGAACGGGUGAGUAACGCGUAGGUAACCUGCCUUGUAGCGGGGGAUAACUAUUGGAAACGAUAGCUAAUACCGCAUAACAAUGGAUGACACAUGUCAUUUAUUUGAAAGGGGCAAUUGCUCCACUACAAGAUGGACCUGCGUUGUAUUAGCUAGUAGGUGAGGUAACGGCUCACCUAGGCGACGAUACAUAGCCGACCUGAGAGGGUGAUCGGCCACACUGGGACUGAGACACGGCCCAGACUCCUACGGGAGGCAGCAGUAGGGAAUCUUCGGCAAUGGGGGCAACCCUGACCGAGCAACGCCGCGUGAGUGAAGAAGGUUUUCGGAUCGUAAAGCUCUGUUGUAAGUCAAGAACGAGUGUGAGAGUGGAAAAUUCACACUGUGACGGUAGCUUACCAGAAAGGGACGGCUAACUACGUGCCAGCAGCCGCGGUAAUACGUAGGUCCCGAGCGUUGUCCGGAUUUAUUGGGCGUAAAGCGAGCGCAGGCGGUUUGAUAAGUCUGAAGUUAAAGGCUGUGGCUCAACCAUAGUUCGCUUUGGAAACUGUCAAACUUGAGUGCAGAAGGGGAGAGUGGAAUUCCAUGUGUAGCGGUGAAAUGCGUAGAUAUAUGGAGGAACACCGGUGGCGAAAGCGGCUCUCUGGUCUGUAACUGACGCUGAGGCUCGAAAGCGUGGGGAGCGAACAGGAUUAGAUACCCUGGUAGUCCACGCCGUAAACGAUGAGUGCUAGGUGUUGGAUCCUUUCCGGGAUUCAGUGCCGCAGCUAACGCAUUAAGCACUCCGCCUGGGGAGUACGACCGCAAGGUUGAAACUCAAAGGAAUUGACGGGGGCCCGCACAAGCGGUGGAGCAUGUGGUUUAAUUCGAAGCAGCGCGAAGAACCUUACCAGGUCUUGACAUCCCGAUGCUAUUUCUAGAGAUAGAAAGUUACUUCGGUACAUCGGUGACAGGUGGUGCAUGGUUGUCGUCAGCUCGUGUCGUGAGAUGUUGGGUUAAGUCCCGCAACGAGCGCAACCCCUAUUGUUAGUUGCCAUCAUUCAGUUGGGCACUCUAGCGAGACUGCCGGUAAUAAACCAGAGGAAGGUGGGGAUGACGUCAAAUCAUCAUGCCCCUUAUGACCUGGGCUACACACGUGCUACAAUGGUUGGUACAACGAGUUGCGAGUCGGUGACGGCAAGCUAAUCUCUUAAAGCCAAUCUCAGUUCGGAUUGUAGGCUGCAACUCGCCUACAUGAAGUCGGAAUCGCUAGUAAUCGCGGAUCAGCACGCCGCGGUGAAUACGUUCCCGGGCCU
RNAcentral lists this ribosomal RNA (1369 nucleotides) under uncultured bacterium. RNAcentral's name for it is "bacterial SSU rRNA". It matches the Rfam family "Bacterial small subunit ribosomal RNA", at positions 28 to 1381 of the family's 1533-position model. The record is from RNAcentral.